AUUGAACGCUGGCGGCAGGCCUAGCACAUGCAAGUCGAGCGGAUGAAGGGAGCUUGCUCCUGGAUUCAGCGGCGGACGGGUGAGUAAUGCCUAGGAAUCUGCCUGGUAGUGGGGGAUAACGUCCGGAAACGGGCGCUAAUACCGCAUACGUCCUGAGGGAGAAAGUGGGGGAUCUUCGGACCUCACGCUAUCAGAUGAGCCUAGGUCGGAUUAGCUAGUUGGUGGGGUAAAGGCCUACCAAGGCGACGAUCCGUAACUGGUCUGAGAGGAUGAUCAGGCACACUGGAACUGAGACACGGUCCAGACUCCUACGGGAGGCAGCAGUGGGGAAUAUUGGACAAUGGGCGAAAGCCUGAUCCAGCCAUGCCGCGUGUGUGAAGAAGGUCUUCGGAUUGUAAAGCACUUUAAGUUGGGAGGAAGGGCAGUAAGUUAAUACCUUGCUGUUUUGACGUUACCAACAGAAUAAGCACCGGCUAACUUCGUG
RNAcentral lists this ribosomal RNA (484 nucleotides) under uncultured bacterium. RNAcentral describes it as "partial 16S ribosomal RNA". It matches the Rfam family "Bacterial small subunit ribosomal RNA", at positions 30 to 507 of the family's 1533-position model. The record is from RNAcentral.